This 402-nucleotide ribosomal RNA is filed under the name uncultured bacterium. Its description in RNAcentral is "bacterial SSU rRNA". It matches the Rfam family "Bacterial small subunit ribosomal RNA", at positions 358 to 776 of the family's 1533-position model. The record is from RNAcentral.
GGAAUAUUGCACAAUGGGGGAAACCCUGAUGCAGCGACGCCGCGUGAGCGAGGAAGUAUUUCGGUAUGUAAAGCUCUAUCAGCAGGGACGAAAAAAGACGGUACCUGACUAAGAAGCCCCGGCUAACUACGUGCCAGCAGCCGCGGUAAUACGUAGGGGGCAAGCGUUAUCCGGAUUUACUGGGUGUAAAGGGAGCGUAGACGGCAAGGCAAGCCAGAAGUGAAAGGGCAGGGCUCAACCCUGUACAUGCUUUUGGAACUGUGGUGCUAGAGUGCAGGAGAGGUAAGUGGAAUUCCUAGUGUAGCGGUGAAAUGCGUAGAUAUUAGGAGGAACACCAGUGGCGAAGGCGGCUUACUGGACUGUAACUGACGUUGAGGCUCGAAAGCGUGGGGAGCAAACAGG